Long non-coding RNA from Ixodes scapularis (black-legged tick), 1040 nucleotides. RefSeq lists it as uncharacterized. The transcript is spliced from 2 exons. NCBI's taxonomy places the organism in Eukaryota, Metazoa, Arthropoda, Arachnida, Ixodida, Ixodidae. The record is from RefSeq and is a predicted model, not a curated record.
CCAGUGCGGCCAAUUCCAUAUGGCGAAGAGUGAAAGAGACAAGGAACGGCCGCCGGGCGCAGUUUGGCGUCCGGCCCGACGGCGCCUUUCCCGUGGUGGCGGUCGUCGUGCCACCGGUCGCCCUGACACCUCCUCCGACGUUGCCGUUCCUGACGCCGUUCACGCUCUGCGUCCCUUCUUCGCCGUGGGCAAUGGUGACGUUCAGUUCCUGUCGCACCAUGACUGGCAUCUUCCGCGCGGCGGACUAGACAGCACCCGACUGACUUCGCAGGCGGCCCAAAUCCUCACGUGAGAGCCGCGGAACUCGAGCGCCUCCAAGCGGCCGGCGACGAUCGACGGGGAAUCGAGGAGUAGCUAGGAGCUCGCCACAUUGGCUAGCGCCUGUUUUACUUCUCACUGCGUUCCCCAGACGGAGGAGUUGUAGGGAGCGGCGGAGAACGAAAGUACCGAGGCAGGGAAUUUCUGUUCAGAGGCUAGGGAGCGCUGGUACCCAGAUGGGGCGGACACCGGCGGAUCGCGGAAGCAACGCGCGAGGAACGCGGCUUUUUUUACGACCACGUCUAUGCGGUACGACCUCCGGACGGCCUUUGGUAAUGAUCGGUAGCUGUAUAUCUCGUGCGGCUCCGCUGUCGCCAUUUCUCAUCCUGACAAGCCAAAGACAACGCAAGACGAAUUGUCCUUAUAAAUCCCCCCUCGUGACGUGGCGGACGGGCUAUUAUACGGAAAGUCAUUUCCCUGGCUCUCAGAGGGACAGUUUAAUUGAAAAGCGAAGCCCGCGAUCUUUGUGUUUGAGGUUCGCGUCUAACUAUAAACAAUCGGAAUAAACACUUUAGCAGUAAUAUAAUAAUGUCGCUGCAAUUGGCAGUAUUCUCCAAAAAAGCGAUAGCAUAUUAUCACCGAAACAAAAACGCGGAGGCUACGUUUUACGGGAAUGACAAAUUUUUUUCAUGUGAAAAGUCGCUUCUUUGUGUAGGACUUUUUGUGAAAGUUUAAUGGGGACACAUACACCAAGAAGCAGAAUAAAGUGUACCAGUACUCUG